UCCCUUUCCAGGGCCAGUGCCCUAUUGCCUUCGGUGUCUGUCUUACCCUCUGGAACCGGGCAAGCUGGCUUCUGUGUUCUCAGGCACUAGGGCACCCUCAGCACCUGGCAGCGCCCCACUCAGGUCCGGGAGGGGCUCUGUGUCUGAAGAAUCCGUGAAGGAGGGAACACGUGAACCGAAUAAUGAAAUGCCCAGCAGGGUCAUGCACCCUGGGCAGAGUGGGCUCUAGAUCAGCCGGCUGGGGGCACCUGGUGGGUGGUGCUGGUCUGGGCGUUGCCCUCGUCCGUGGAGGCCAGGAACGUGUUUCAUCCCUACCCUUGUGCCCCCCUCCCCGCACGUGUUACAAGGUCUGGCGCCAAACGCAGGACCUAAAGAACCUGAGGCAGGACCCCCAGGACCGCGGGCAUAGGCCUGAGGCCAAGGACGCAGAGCACUAGGGACAGGGGAGGGUGGAGGAGCACAGCACCCAGGACGGUCAGCGUGGGGACCCCAGGCAGCGGGCGCAGCACACGGAGCGCAGGGCCGGGGCAGAGGGCACAGGGAGCCCAGCCCUGUCCGAGGUCGGGACGCCCGAGGUGCUGGGUGCACAGAGUCCCCGCGACGCGGGGAGAUCAGACGAGGGGUGUACCAAGGGCGGGACGCCCUGGGCGUGGGGGUGUUCUGACAUGGGGUGCUGAGAAGGGGGGGGCCAGCGCGCAGGGUGCACAGCACGUGGGGUAUCGGAAGCUCGGGGCACACUCGGGUGGGAGUCCCGAGGCGCAAGGUGGGAUGCUGGGAGCGAGGAGUGGGGCGUCCGAGGCGCGGGGACCGACCGCGCAGCGCCGGCCACCAGGCACCCGGGCGAGGCUGCGCGCGACGCGCCCGUUCCCGGAGCCCGGCUGCUGGCGCGGCCUCCACUGCGGCUGCGCAGCUCGGGGUCUGGGGCGAGGAGAAGGGGCGCCCGAGCUCUUCGCGCCCCCACCUGCUCCCCAUCCUCUGCCUCUGAGCCCCUCGCCCGCCCGUGAGCCCAGAAGACCCGGAUGGAAUGGAGGCUGGCCAAGGGAUUCCGGUCGCGUCCACGGGCGCUCCGCGGACCACGGGCUUUGGGAGAAAGAGGAGGGGCUGGGAGGGGGUCCGGCCGGAUUUUUCCAAGCUGAGCUGGAAACCCCCUCUCCUCAUCUAAAUCCAGUGUCGGGCCUGCUCACCCGGAUCCCAGGCAAGAAGUCUGCAGCCACGGAACCCGGGCGUGAAGGGAGACGAGGUGGCCCACCUACCCUCUCCACCGGGAGUUCGGCCCGGAUCUGGCCUGGGUUCAGGGCUAUGAGAACCCCUGCCCAGUCCUGAAACGAAGGCUGUCCACACAGGGAGCGGAGGGCGCUGGGUUGCCAGAGAGAUGGCUCCUGGUCCCCCAACCAGCCUGGAAGUCUGGUGCCUGCCUUUCCCCAAGUUCCGCUACCAGGACAUGCUUCUCGAAAGGGCUUCUCUGAGGCCAGGUUAAUUCACUUGCAGAUGUCCAAUUUCAGCUGUUUUAAAAACUCAGUUCCCCUUCCAGUCGGCCCCAAGUUCUGUGUAUUUCCCACCCCACCGCUUCCAUGUUCUAUUCCUCACGCGUUCUGCAGAGCCAAGCUUGGGUGGCAAUGCAUUCUCUUCCCCGGAAACAGAGCCAGGGUUUGCCUCCCUCCCUGUCCUCGGCACGUCCCCUUCCUCUAGAAUCCAGAUCCGGAUCGGUCUGCUUCACUGCCUCCCACACCCCACUACUGCCGGCUCGAGUCCGGGAUCGAGUCCGCCAAGAUUCAGCCCGGAGUGUGGACUCGCAUACGCUCACUGCUUUACC
Equus caballus (horse) is the source of this 1813-nucleotide long non-coding RNA. NCBI's taxonomy places the organism in Eukaryota, Metazoa, Chordata, Mammalia, Perissodactyla, Equidae. The record is from Ensembl.